UAUUUCAAGCGCUGCUAAGUCAGUAAAGUGAAUGACUCACUGACUUUUUCACAUUAUCUUUUAAUUUUGUUUGCCUUAGAUGUAUCUACUUGAAUGUGUUUAGUAAAUGAAAACCAAACAAAACCCUGAGAUUCAGAGUAAUUUAUACGUCAUAAAUUUCAGCUGACUGAACAGUUUCUGAACAAAUGGAAGCGAGGCCAGUGCCAUAAUCCUUAAUACACCCAUGUGGUAUUUACUGGCACCAACUUGAAUGGCAUUUCAGUAUGAAAGGUUGAAUUAAUAGCUAUUACUUAACCCAAGUAAAGCUUAUAGUAUAGAGUCCUCUGUUUGAAGAUUGAAAUAUCAAGGGAAAAAAGCAAUCAACUGGCUGACACAAAGGGCUGAACCUUUUACAGUCAGGAUAUGGUUUGACAUGGAUUCCUUAACUAGUUCCAUUGCUGCCAUUUACAGCUGCCCUGCCCCUGUUGUUUCCACUGAUACAAUUAUCUGUGGGGAAGGAUUGGGGAAAAAAUUAUUAUUUGUUUCACUUUUUUGUUUCUCUCAAAAUUACUUUUAUGCAGAUCAGUUCCUUCACCUGCCAUUUCUGGAGCCCCCCAGAAUUCCUACCAACACAGCUGGUGCUACAAAGGGAAGGCCAUGUGCAGGAUUUGGAGGCUCCCUGCCACUUGAAAUGUGCCUAGGAGAAAUCCAUGUCAAGUCACAGCCUUAACUAUAACCAAGUAUAAAAGAUAGAAAGGUACGGUACCCUAUGAAGAAGUCUGGACAUACAACUUCUGACUAUAAGAAUUAGAGAGAUGAUUUUCUAUAUAUUUCACAUUUUUGAAGAUUGCAAGCCAUAAUAUACGUCAAUAAAAUUUGAUGCAAUUGCUCCUUUAAAACUAGAAUCACAGAAUUCUAAGUUUAUUGGGUAUCUUUAUCAAGCAAGUUUGCUUAACAAAAUAAAAGUUGUUAAACUACAGUUCAACCUGACAGAAAAAGCAGUCAGCCUAAAGGGCUCAGUGAUAUAGAGCAGAUCCACAUCUUUAUAUCAUGUAACAUAAUUUUGAAUUCACAAUGAGCUAAAAGUUGUUAAAGUUGUAUUGUAAAUGUUAAAAUACCCAAAAUAUAAUUGGAGAGAAAUCAAACACUGUUUUAUGCAAUAAACAAUCAGUCCUUUA
Molecule: long non-coding RNA, 1157 nt
Organism: Corvus hawaiiensis (hawaiian crow)
Lineage: Eukaryota; Metazoa; Chordata; Aves; Passeriformes; Corvidae
Exons: 2
Source: RefSeq, a predicted model, not a curated record